UGAGUAUGCCUCUGACGUCACCCAUGUGCAAUGGAUUGCAUAUCUAGUCAGCAAAUAGAAAGCACCAACAAGCAAUGCAAUUGCUCCAUUCUUUUGGUAGGGCAAAGACUGAUCAAGCGCACCCUUUGAGGAAGCCUUUGUGCUAGUUGUUCCUUUGCCGGAGCCAGCUUGAGUAGGUUUUGUUUUUGCCCUCACCAACAGACUUAAAUUCUUGAUAGUUGCCGAGACAGCAAUAGCACUGAUGAGGCAUACCGCAGGUGUAGCAACAAGAAUCAAUCGAACCAUGACCCCAGCAAAGUACAUGCUGGUGAGGCCAUACAUCACAAUAAAUAUAGUAGCAUCUGACAGUCGUUUGAAGCAGAAAUACAGACCCGCAGGGAAAAGGAUUAGCAAUAUAUGAAAAUCAAACAUGAAAGA
Molecule: unclassified non-coding RNA, 417 nt
Filed under: Hevea brasiliensis (rubber tree)
Lineage: Eukaryota; Viridiplantae; Streptophyta; Magnoliopsida; Malpighiales; Euphorbiaceae
Source: RNAcentral